RNAcentral lists this ribosomal RNA (253 nucleotides) under uncultured bacterium. RNAcentral describes it as "partial 16S ribosomal RNA". It matches the Rfam family "Bacterial small subunit ribosomal RNA", at positions 524 to 776 of the family's 1533-position model. The record is from RNAcentral.
UACGGGGGGAGCAAGCGUUGUUCGGAAUCACUGGGCGUAAAGCGCGUGUAGGCGGCCAAGUAAGUGGGAUGUGAAAUCCCCCGGCUUACCCGGGGACCUGCAUCUCAUACUGCUUGGCUUGAGUAUGGGAGAGGAUGAGGGAAUUCCUGGUGUAGCGGUGAAAUGCGUAGAUAUCGGGAGGAACACCGGUGGCGAAGGCGGCCUUCUGGACGGAUACUGACGCUGAGACGCGAAAGCGUGGGGAGCAAACAGG